Long non-coding RNA from Oncorhynchus kisutch (coho salmon), 651 nucleotides. RefSeq lists it as uncharacterized. NCBI's taxonomy places the organism in Eukaryota, Metazoa, Chordata, Actinopteri, Salmoniformes, Salmonidae. The transcript is spliced from 2 exons. The record is from RefSeq and is a predicted model, not a curated record.
AAAUAAAUGGCAUUGAAAGAACAGGUGUUCAUAAUGUUUUGCACACUCAGUGUAUAUGUAAAUAAUCUAAAGGAAAUGUAAACAAACAUUGAAAUAAAUGUAAAGCCCAUUGAAGCGAAUGUAAUGCAUUUCACCACAGGGUAUUACACCUGUCAAAUUAAUCAAUCACUCACCACCAGCAUUUACUACAGGACAGAGUUCACGUCUCCGUGUUUCACAGCUGUGUUGUGAUUGGAUACGUUUUGCAGUUCUGGGCUCUCAUUGGAUGAGUUUGGCAGUUGUAGGCUUUCAUCUCACACUGUGUCAAUUGUUCCCAUUGAGUUUUUGUUGUAAAUUGACGUCAGCUGUUACUGUGUCAGACUGUCCUAUUAGGUCUCUGUUCUGACUGUCCUAGCAGGUCUCUGUUCUGACUGUCCUUGCAGGUCUCUGUUCUGACUGUCCUUGCAGGUCUCUGUUCUGACUGUCCUUGCAGGUCUCUGUUCUGACUGUCCUUGCAGGUCUCUGUUCUGACUGUCCUAGCGGGUCUCCACACCAUUCUGGGAGUACUAUUCUGUCUGUAAAGUCAAAUCCCCUGGUUGCUCGUUUUAUGUUUUCUAUUGUAAACAAUGAGAUGCUUUUGGAAUAAAAGUCUAAAGAAAAACAUUCCAGUUA